GAAUUACCAAAUUACCCUCAUCU
Molecule: small nuclear RNA, 23 nt
Filed under: Arabidopsis thaliana (thale cress)
Lineage: Eukaryota; Viridiplantae; Streptophyta; Magnoliopsida; Brassicales; Brassicaceae
Description: snRNA_02499
Source: RNAcentral